UACAUUUUCAGAUACAAAAUUCUAAUUUUGUCAGAAAGUUUUUUUUUUUUGCAAGGAAAGCGUGCUGUUAGUUAGCUAGCAAACAUCAGCUUGCUGGCUCGCUAGCUAACUUUACGUGUAUGAUCUGUGUAGUAAGAUUAUUUGAACCAGAAAUCCAUUUGCAUGGAUAGCUAGCUAACGUUGAACCUAGUUUGUUAGCUUUAGCUACCUGCAGAUUCAUACUACAGCUAUGACAAGGUUUGUAUUGGUAGUAGUAUGAGUUGGGAUUAUGCCGGUUAAUUGCUUAGCUAGCUACCUAGCUACAUGUCUAAACAAAAAAGACUCCACUUCGGCCAGAUUAUGACAUGACCCAUCAAAUUAGCCAGGUGUGAUUACGACCAUCUAUUGUAUUUCAUGAACAGGUGUACAUGUCUAGACAAUAGUGACCAAUCCACUUAGCUAGAUGUGGCUGGGAGGGUGGUUAGCGCAAAUCCUUCAUGUGACCCAUCAAUUUAGACAAGUAAUGAUAAAACACUUAUAAAAUAUUUUUUUCUGGACACUUUCUGUUUUUGAUAUUUCUACUAUGCAAGUAACCAUUUCACAGUACCGUUUACACCUUGAGUAUCCUGUGCAUGUGACAAAUAAACAUUGAUUUGAUUUGAUAUAGCGUAUGCUAAGGUUUAAGACGAUGCUGAACGGGUGUAGACAAAGAAGAGCUCUCCAGUAGUAGUACCAAUACAUUCCAAGGGCCACUUUCUCAAAAGUGGAGUUAUAAGUUGAUCAACUUUCAAAGCAGUGACUUUCCCAUUGUUCAUCGUCUGCAGUGUACGAUAUACCAUUUUGUAGCUCUGAGUCUCUACUUUUAUCCAAUGUAAAAAAUCUAAUACAAAUCAAAUGUUGUAUCAUCAGACCUAAUCAAGGCGGUCGGUCACAUUUGAUUUUUUUUUCAACAAAAAAUGCAUUAGAUAUUCCACCCCGUUCACAGAAAUGACUCACGCUUGCUAUAUAAGGGCAAGCAGACAGGCAUCGAGGCAAACAGUUACUGUUCCAAUGAACGUUAGAAUGGACAAAACAAGUGACAUAAUAGACUUCCAGUAUCUCAGAAAUGGCCAGCCUGCAGCAAUGACAUUGCAGGAUUUCAUCAAAUUACUUUCACAGCACAGAGUAAACGGACAGUCCUGGGGGCGUUGAAAUGAACGCCCAGGCCUUCUGGGUCUGCUCUAUCAGGUACUGAACAGAUGGCACUAAAGAGAAAACUGCAAUGAAUAAAUAAUCAUGACAGUUACUGGGAGCCUGGGACCUGAACCGGACAUCCACCAACAGUCAAAGGACACAUAUACACUAGCAAGAACCUUCUCACAGAUCUGUUAGGUCAAAAAAAACAUGGCUUUGUGCCCAAUUAGCAAAACAUUUUUUUAGUUUCUUCUGCCGUUAGAUGCUAUGCUAGUAAGCACUAGCUACCAAGAUAGCAUACCGUUAGCUAGCUUGCUAGCUCGUACGCCAAAUCAUGUCUUACUGAAGUUACUGGUGAGCUCAUCAUGCUUGUGACAUUAUGCUAGCUAGCUAUCCCCAGUUAGACAAUUUGUUUUCACUGGUCGCAUAUGUGCUUGUUGCGUUUUCCCCGUGUUUGUGUCACCUGCACACUGCUCGUUCUAAAAUAGAACCUUCUGCUAAUCAAAACCAUGGCAGCAUGUGCAGCAGAGGUGAUUCUGUUUUACAUGCAAAAAUGAAAUAGGUGUAUUUAUAUUUAUGCUGUUGUUCAAAUGCACAGUUCACUUUAUUAAUCUUCCCAAAGAAACAACCGGUAAUUUUAAAACUUGGGUUAAUAAUUCUGUCAUGCUGCUUUGUUGGCAAUAUGAACAGCAAAGGCUGGUCUGCUCUGAACAAAUCAGAUUAAAGUUUAUUUGUCACGUGCGCCGAAUACAACAGGUGGAGUAGACAGUGAAAUGCUUACUUACUUUCUAACCAACAGUGCAAAAAAAGGUAUUAGGUGAACAAUAGGCAAGUAAAGAAAUAAGACAACAGUAAAAAGACAGUGAAAAAUAACAGUAGCGAGGAUAUAUACAGUAGAGAGGCUAUUACAGUAGAGAGGCUAUAACAGUAGAGAGGCUAUAACAGUAGAGAGGCUAUAUACAGUAGAGAAGCUAUAACAGUAGAGAGGCUAUAACAGUAGAGAGGCUAUAUACAGUAGAGAGGCUAUAUACAGUAGAGAGGCUAUAACAGUAGAGAGGCUAUAUACAGUAGAGGCUAUAUACAGUAGAGAGGCUAUAUACAUUAGAGAGACUAUAUACAGUAGAGAGGCUAUAACAGUAAAGAGGCUAUAUACAGUAGAGAGGCUAUAUACAGUAGAGAGGCUAUAACAGUAGAGAGGCUAUAACAGUAGAGAGGCUAUAACAGUAGAGAGGCUAUGACAGUAGAGAGGCUAUAUACAGUAGAGAGGCUAUACCAGUAGAGAGGCUAUAACAGUAGAGAGGCUAUAACAGUAGAGAGGCUAUAACAGUAGAGAGGCUAUAACAGUAGAGAGGCUAUAACAGUAGAGAGGCUAUAACAGUAGAGAGGCUAUAACAAUAGAGAGGCUGUAACAGUAGCGAGGCUAUAACAGUAGAGAGGCUAUAACAGUAGCGAGGCUAUAACAGUAGAGAGGCUAUAACAGUGGAGAGGCUGUAAAACAGUAGAGAGGCUAUAACAGUAGAGAGGCUGUAACAGUAGCGAGGCUAUAACAGUAGAGAGGCUAUAACAGUAGCGAGGCUAUAACAGUAGCGAGGCUAUAACAGUAGCGAGGCUAUAACAGUAGAGAGGCUAUAACAGUAGAGAGGCUAUAACAGUAGCGAGGCUAUAACAGUAGCGAGACUAUAACAGUAGCGAGGUUAUAACAGUAGCGAGGCUGUAUACAGGCACCGGUUAGUUGGGCUGAUUGAGGUAGUAUGUACAUGUAGAUACGGUUAAAGUGACAAAGCAAAUAUGAUAAACAGAGAGUAGCAGUAGCAGGGUUGGUCAGUGGUGGGUGGCAGGACACAAUGCAGAUAGCCCGGUUAGGCAAUGGGCGGGAGCACUGGUUGGUUGGCCCAAUUGAGGUAGUAUGUACAUGAAUGUAAAGUUAAAGUGACUAUGUAUAUAUGACAAACAGAGAGUAGCGGCAGCGUAAAAGAGGGGUUGGGGGGGAGGCACACAAUGCAAAUAGUCUGGGUAACCAUUUGAUUACCUGUUCAGGAGUCUUAUGGCUUGGGGGUAAUAACUGUUCAGAAGCCUUUUUGUCCUAGACUUGGCACUCCGGUACCGCUUGCCAUGCGGUAGUAGAGAACAGUCUAUGACUGGGGUGGCUGGGGUCUUUGACAAUUUUUAGGGCCUUCCUCUGACACUGCCUGGUGUAGAGGUCCUGGAUGGCUGGCAGCUUAGCCCCAGUGAUGUACUGGGCCUUACACACUACCCUCUGUAGUGCCUUGCGGUCGGAGGCCGAGCAGUUGCCGUACCAGACAGUGAUGCAACCAGUCAGGAUGCUCUUGAUGUUGCAAAAAAAUUAUGAGGAUUGAGGCUUCACUCCUGCACCUACACUCUCUUUAAAAGCCCUCUUUGGUGAUUGGAUGCCAUGAUGAGAUGAGAUGGGGAGAUAGGCCCCUGACGGAAAAAGCCAGGCACCAGUGUUUCCUUGCACAACCACCGCUCUGAUAAGAUCAUACUUUGGCUGGUGAUGAAGCCCAGGGUCAGCCGGCCAGAAGACAAAACUGAAAGUAAUGUCAAGGGACCAAAAAGAAGAGCGUGACUGCAAAAUAAUUCAAUAAAUACAGAAUUGUAUUCAUUAAUUUAUUAACGCUAGGAGUUUCCAUAGAGUACAAUAUGAUAUAGAUGUAUUGAUAUGUGAUUGAAUAACUGUCUCUUUUGAUAACAUCACGUCUCUUCAAUCAACUUGAUAUUGAAUGCAAAAAUAAAUGAAUGAUGUCUGGUCUGUGGCAUGAGACCUAUGUGUUAAUGCGUUCUAAGACGCGAGUGCAUUCUUAUCUAAAAAAAGAUGGGGGUAAAAAUGAUUGGCACCCCUGUUUUUCAAUAAUCCAGCACCCUCCCCUUGCGAGGAUAAUGACACUGAGCCUUUUUUUUUUUUAAAUCAUGAGAUUGGAGAACGCAUUGUGAGGGAUCUUAGACCAUACUUCCAUACAGAAUCUUUCCAGAUCAUUGAUAUCCUUUGUCCGCGCUUAUGGUCUCCCCUCUGGUCUCCCCAUAGAGUGGGCUGCCCAUGCACUGCCCAUAGUACCGGUUCCAGUCCA
This is a long non-coding RNA of Oncorhynchus tshawytscha (Chinook salmon), 4238 nucleotides long. The record is from Ensembl. Lineage: Eukaryota; Metazoa; Chordata; Actinopteri; Salmoniformes; Salmonidae.